UACUAUGUUACGACUUAUCUCACUCCUGAGAGCGACGGGCGAUAUGUGCAUAUUUUAGAGCUCUAUUCAAAUAUUCAUAAUAUUAAUAUUUUACUAUUAAAUCCUAAAAAUCUUUUUUCAAAAAAUAAAUAACAUAAAAAUUAAUGUAAUUCACCUCAUUCAUAAUUAUUUGUUGCACCAUGACUUAAUAUAUUUUUUGAAUAAAAAAUUUAAAAUAUAACUAUUCAAUAUAUCUAAAUAUAGUGGUAUACAAACUGAAUUUGAAUAACAAAAUUAAGUAAGAUUCAGGCGUUGUAUCCAUCACAGGGCAAAUUCCUCUAAUAAGCUUAAAAUACCGCCAAAAUUUUAUGAUUUCAUAAAUUAUAUUUACUACCAAUAUAUAGCUUAAAAUAAUAGGGUAUCUAAUCCUAGUUU
This 414-nucleotide ribosomal RNA is filed under the name Ixodes pacificus (western blacklegged tick). RNAcentral's name for it is "partial 12S ribosomal RNA". The record is from RNAcentral. Lineage: Eukaryota; Metazoa; Arthropoda; Arachnida; Ixodida; Ixodidae.